CUGACGAGCGGCGGACGGGUGAGUAAUGCAUAGGAAUCUGCCCGAUAGUGGGGGAUAACCUGGGGAAACCCAGGCUAAUACCGCAUACGUCCUACGGGAGAAAGGGGGCUCCGGCUCCCGCUAUGGGAUGAGCCUAUGUCGGAUUAGCUAGUUGGUGAGGUAACGGCUCACCAAGGCCACGAUCCGUAGCUGGUCUGAGAGGAUGAUCAGCCACAUCGGGACUGAGACACGGCCCGAACUCCUACGGGAGGCAGCAGUGGGGAAUAUUGGACAAUGGGGGAAACCCUGAUCCAGCCAUGCCGCGUGUGUGAAGAAGGCCCUCGGGUUGUAAAGCACUUUCAGCGAGGAAGAACGCCUAGCGGUUAAUACCCGCUAGGAAAGACAUCACUCGCAGAAGAAGCACCGGCUAACUCCGUGCCAGCAGCCGCGGUAAUACGGAGGGUGCAAGCGUUAAUCGGAAUUACUGGGCGUAAAGCGCGCGUAGGUGGCUUGAUAAGCCGGUUGUGAAAGCCCCGGGCUCAACCUGGGAACGGCAUCCGGAACUGUCAAGCUAGAGUGCAGGAGAGGAAGGUAGAAUUCCCGGUGUAGCGGUGAAAUGCGUAGAGAUCGGGAGGAAUACCAGUGGCGAAGGCGGCCUUCUGGACUGACACUGACACUGAGGUGCGAAAGCGUG
RNAcentral lists this ribosomal RNA (673 nucleotides) under Vreelandella aquamarina. RNAcentral's name for it is "bacterial SSU rRNA". It matches the Rfam family "Bacterial small subunit ribosomal RNA", at positions 88 to 763 of the family's 1533-position model. The record is from RNAcentral. Lineage: Bacteria; Pseudomonadati; Pseudomonadota; Gammaproteobacteria; Oceanospirillales; Halomonadaceae.